GGGGUUAUGGCUCAGUGGUAGAGCCCUUGCCUCACAUGUAUGAGGCACUGGGUUCGAUUCUCAGCACCA
RNAcentral lists this transfer RNA (69 nucleotides) under Urocitellus parryii (Arctic ground squirrel). Its description in RNAcentral is "Spermophilus parryii (Arctic ground squirrel) tRNA". It matches the Rfam family "tRNA". Rfam says of the family: Transfer RNA (tRNA) molecules are approximately 80 nucleotides in length. Lineage: Eukaryota; Metazoa; Chordata; Mammalia; Rodentia; Sciuridae. RNAcentral also lists the same sequence under 2 other names. The record is from Rfam by way of RNAcentral.